This 72-nucleotide transfer RNA is filed under the name Camelus bactrianus (Bactrian camel). It matches the Rfam family "tRNA". Rfam says of the family: Transfer RNA (tRNA) molecules are approximately 80 nucleotides in length. The record is from Rfam by way of RNAcentral. Lineage: Eukaryota; Metazoa; Chordata; Mammalia; Artiodactyla; Camelidae. RNAcentral also lists the same sequence under 2 other names.
GGGGUUAUAGCUCAGUGGUAGAGCGUGUGCUUGGCGUGCAUGAGGUCCUGGGUUCCAGCCCCAGUGCCUCUG